GUCGAACGCAGUAGCAAUACUGAGUGGCAAACGGGUGAGUGUAAUGUGGGAAUCUGCCUUUUGGUUUGGAAUAACACGGGGAAACUUGUGCUAAUACCGGAUAAGCCCUUACGGGGAAAGUUUUAACGCCGAAAGAUGAGCCUGCACUUGAUUAGCUAGUUGGUAAGGUAAAAGCUUACCAAGGCAACGAUCAAUAGCUGUUCUUAGAGGAAGACCAGCCACAUUGGGACUGAGACACGGCCCAGACUCCUACGGGAGGCAGCAGUGGGGAAUCUUGCACAAUGGGGGAAACCCUGAUGCAGCGAUGCCGCGUGAGUGAAGAAGGCCUUUGGGUUGUAAAACUCUUUCGUCGGGGAAGAAAAUGACUGUACCCGAAUAAGAAGGUCCGGCUAACUUCGUGCCAGCAGCCGCGGUAAUACGAGGGGACCUAGCGUAGUUCGGAAUUACUGGGCUUAAAGAGCUCGUAGGUGGUUAAAAAAGUUGAUGGUGAAAUCCCAAGGCUCAACCUUGGAACUGCCAUCAAAACUUUUUAGCUAGAGUGUGAUAGAGGUAAGUGGAAUUUCUAGUGUAGAGGUGAAAUUCGUAGAUAUUAGAAAGAACACCAAAUGCGAAGGCAACUUACUGGGUCACUACUGACACUGAGGAGCGAAAGCAUGGGUAGCGAAGAGGAUUAGAUACCCUCGUAGUCCAUGCCGUAAACGAUGUGUGCUAGACGUUGGAAAUAUAUUUUUCAGUGUCGCAGCGAAAGCAUUAAGCACACCGCCUGGGGAGUACGACCGCAAGGUUAAAACUCAAAUGAAUUGACGGGGACCCGCACAAGCAGUGG
Molecule: ribosomal RNA, 826 nt
Filed under: uncultured marine bacterium
Lineage: Bacteria
Description: bacterial SSU rRNA
Rfam family: Bacterial small subunit ribosomal RNA
Source: RNAcentral